RNAcentral lists this ribosomal RNA (364 nucleotides) under uncultured Pantoea sp. RNAcentral describes it as "bacterial SSU rRNA". It matches the Rfam family "Bacterial small subunit ribosomal RNA", at positions 505 to 873 of the family's 1533-position model. Lineage: Bacteria; Pseudomonadati; Pseudomonadota; Gammaproteobacteria; Enterobacterales; Erwiniaceae. The record is from RNAcentral.
GUGCCAGCAGCUGCGGUAAUACGGAGGGUGCAAGCGUUAAUCGGAAUUACUGGGCGUAAAGCGCACGCAGGCGGUCUGUCAAGUCGGAUGUGAAAUCCCCGGGCUCAACCUGGGAACUGCAUUCGAAACUGGCAGGCUGGAGUCUUGUAGAGGGGGUAGAAUUCCAGGUGUAGCGGUGAAAUGCGUAGAGAUCUGGAGGAAUACCGGUGGCGAAGGCGGCCCCCUGGACAAAGACUGACGCUCAGGUGCGAAAGCGUGGGAGCAAACAGGAUUAGAUACCCUGGUAGUCCACGCCGUAACGAUGUCGACUUGAGGUUGUGCCCUUGAGGCGUGGCUUCCGGAGCUAACGCGUUAAGUCGACGCC